GAUGAAGAACGCAGCGAAAUGCGAUAAGUAAUGUGAAAUGCAGAAUUCAGUGAAUCAUCGAAUCUUUGAACGCACAUUGCGCCCGCCAGUAUUCUGGCGGGCAUGCCUGUUCGAGCGUCAUUUCAACCAUCAAGCCCCCGGCUUGUGUUGGGGACCCUGCGGCUGCCCGCAGGCCCUGAAAACCAGUGGCGGGCUCGCUGUCACUCCGAGCGUAGUAGCAUAUAUCUCGCUCAGGGCGUGCUGCGGGUUCCGGCCGUUAAAAGCCUUUUUUUACCCAAGGUUGACCUCGGAUCAGGUAGGAAGACCCGCUGAACUUAAGCAUAUCAAUAAGCGGAGGA
RNAcentral lists this unclassified non-coding RNA (338 nucleotides) under soil metagenome. Its description in RNAcentral is "partial contains 5.8S ribosomal RNA, internal transcribed spacer 2, and large subunit ribosomal RNA". The stretch from base 1 to 120 matches the Rfam family "5.8S ribosomal RNA", at positions 35 to 154 of the family's 154-position model. The record is from RNAcentral.